CCUACGGGUGGCAGCAGUGGGGAAUAUUGGGCAAUGGGCGCAAGCCUGACCCAGCAACGCCGCGUGAAGGAAGAAGGCUUUCGGGUUGUAAACUUCUUUUAAGAGGUAAGAGCAGAAGACUGUACCUCUUGAAUACUCCACGGCUAACUACGUUCCAGCAGCCGCCGUAAUACGUAGGUCGCAAGCGUUAUCCGGAUUUCCUGGGUGUACAGGGCGUGUAGCCGGGCUGUCAAGGAAGAUGUGAAAUUCCGGGGCUCAACCCCGGACCUGCAUUUGAAACUGUUGGUCUUGAGUAUCGGAGAGGCAGGCGGAAUUCCUAGUGUAGCGGUGAAAUGCGUAGAUAUUAGGAGGAACACCAGUGGCGAAGGCGGCCUGCUGGACGACAACUGACGGUGAGGCGCGAAAGCGUGGGGAGCAAACAGGAUUAGAUACCCUUGUAGUC
This 442-nucleotide ribosomal RNA is filed under the name uncultured bacterium. Its description in RNAcentral is "partial 16S ribosomal RNA". It matches the Rfam family "Bacterial small subunit ribosomal RNA", at positions 338 to 795 of the family's 1533-position model. The record is from RNAcentral.